UCAAAGUUAAUACAUUUCACCUCUUCAAGAAUUCCUUUGAAAUCCAAGGCUGUUCAAUGAAAAAAAUGGUCUCAGAUGAAGAAGACAGCAUGAUCUUGUGGUUCCUCCUACCUAAUGACUGUGCAUGGCGGGGGUACUCCAGGCAUUCCACUGUUGCCUCCUGUGUCACUCAUCUAAAAGGUACCUUAGUUGGUUUUGAACUGCUAUAA
This 209-nucleotide long non-coding RNA is filed under the name Callithrix jacchus (white-tufted-ear marmoset). Its description in RNAcentral is "lncRNA (ENSCJAG00000062046.2)". Lineage: Eukaryota; Metazoa; Chordata; Mammalia; Primates; Cebidae. The record is from RNAcentral.